This 88-nucleotide non-coding RNA is filed under the name Chromera velia. Lineage: Eukaryota; Chromeraceae. The record is from RNAcentral.
AAUGUGGACACUGCCAAUACUUCACUUCCGCGGCGAUCUGAUGUGUGUGACAACGCAGCGACAAGGUAACGCACGAAUUCUUGACCGA